UGCCGAAACGCGGGUUCGAACCACGAACAUUUAGAUCUUCAGUCUAAAGCUUUCGUAACUGAACUAAUCCGCC
Molecule: non-coding RNA, 73 nt
Organism: Cordylochernes scorpioides
Lineage: Eukaryota; Metazoa; Arthropoda; Arachnida; Pseudoscorpiones; Chernetidae
Source: the annotation of a GenBank genome assembly